This 482-nucleotide ribosomal RNA is filed under the name uncultured bacterium. Its description in RNAcentral is "partial 16S ribosomal RNA". It matches the Rfam family "Bacterial small subunit ribosomal RNA", at positions 30 to 507 of the family's 1533-position model. The record is from RNAcentral.
AUUGAACGCUGGCGGCAUGCCUUACACAUGCAAGUCGAACGGUAACGGGCCUUCGGGUGCCGACGAGUGGCGCACGGGUGAGUAAUACAUCGGAACGUGCCCGAUCGUGGGGGAUAACGAGGCGAAAGCUUUGCUAAUACCGCAUACGAUCUACGGAUGAAAGCAGGGGACCGCAAGGCCUUGCGCGGACGGAGCGGCCGAUGGCAGAUUAGGUAGUUGGUGGGAUAAAAGCUUACCAAGCCGACGAUCUGUAGCUGGUCUGAGAGGAUGAUCAGCCACACUGGGACCGAGACACGGCCCAGACUCCUACGGGAGGCAGCAGUGGGGAAUUUUGGACAAUGGGCGCAAGCCUGAUCCAGCCAUGCCGCGUGCAGGAUGAAGGCCUUCGGGUUGUAAACUGCUUUUGUACGGAACGAAAAGCCUUCUUUUAAUACAGGAGGGUCAUGACGGUACCGUAAGAAUAAGCACCGGCUAACUACGUG